ACUAACUGGAGGACCGAACCGACUAAUGUUGAAAAAUUAGCGGAUGACCUGUGGCUGGGGGUGAAAGGCCAAUCAAACCGGGAGAUAGCUGGUUCUCCCCGAAAGCUAUUUAGGUAGCGCCUCGUGAAUUCAUCUCCGGGGGUAGAGCACUGUUUCGGCUAGGGGGCCAUCCCGGCUUACCAACCCGAUGCAAACUGCGAAUACCGGAGAAUGUUAUCACGGGAGACACACGGCGGGUGCUAACGUCCGUCGUGAAGAGGGAAACAACCCAGACCGCCAGCUAAGGUCCCAAAGUCAUGGUUAAGUGGGAAACGAUGUGGGAAGGCCCAGACAGCCAGGAUGUUGGCUUAGAAGCAGCCAUCAUUUAAAGAAAGCGUAAUAGCUCACUGGUCGAGUCGGCCUGCGCGGAAGAUGUAACGGGGCUAAACCAUGCACCGAAGCUGCGGCAGCGACACUGUGUGUUGUUGGGUAGGGGAGCGUUCUGUAAGCCUGUGAAGGUGUGUCGUGAGGCAUGCUGGAGGUAUCAGAAGUGCGAAUGCUGACAUAAGUAACGAUAAAGCGGGUGAAAAGCCCGCUCGCCGGAA
Molecule: ribosomal RNA, 584 nt
Filed under: Salmonella enterica subsp. enterica serovar Enteritidis
Lineage: Bacteria; Pseudomonadati; Pseudomonadota; Gammaproteobacteria; Enterobacterales; Enterobacteriaceae
Description: partial 23S ribosomal RNA
Rfam family: Bacterial large subunit ribosomal RNA
Source: RNAcentral